This 69-nucleotide transfer RNA is filed under the name Rattus norvegicus (Norway rat). It matches the Rfam family "tRNA". Rfam says of the family: Transfer RNA (tRNA) molecules are approximately 80 nucleotides in length. Their secondary structure includes four short double-helical elements and three loops (D, anti-codon, and T loops). Further hydrogen bonds mediate the characteristic L-shaped molecular structure. tRNAs have two regions of fundamental functional importance: the anti-codon, which is responsible for specific mRNA codon recognition, and the 3' end, to which the tRNAs corresponding amino acid is attached (by aminoacyl-tRNA synthetases). tRNAs cope with the degeneracy of the genetic code in two manners: having more than one tRNA (with a specific anti-codon) for a particular amino acid; and 'wobble' base-pairing, i.e. permitting non-standard base-pairing at the 3rd anti-codon position. The record is from Rfam by way of RNAcentral. Lineage: Eukaryota; Metazoa; Chordata; Mammalia; Rodentia; Muridae.
GGGGAUUUAGCUCAGUGGUAGAGCACUUGCCUAGCAAGCACAAGGCCCUGGGUUCAGUUCCCAGCUCUG